UGGGGAAUUUUGGACAAUGGGCGAAAGCCUGAUCCAGCAAUGCCGCGUGUGUGAAGAAGGCCUUCGGGUUGUAAAGCACUUUUGUCCGGAAAGAAAUCCUUGGCUCUAAUACAGUCGGGGGAUGACGGUACCGGAAGAAUAAGCACCGGCUAACUACGUGCCAGCAGCCGCGGUAAUACGUAGGGUGCAAGCGUUAAUCGGAAUUACUGGGCGUAAAGCGUGCGCAGGCGGUUUGCUAAGACCGAUGUGAAAUCCCCGGGCUCAACCUGGGAACUGCAUUGGUGACUGGCAGGCUAGAGUAUGGCAGAGGGGGGUAGAAUUCCACGUGUAGCAGUGAAAUGCGUAGAGAUGUGGAGGAAUACCGAUGGCGAAGGCAGCCCCCUGGCCAAGUACUGACGCUCAUGCACGAAAAGCGUGGGGAGCAAACNGGAUUAAUACCCUGGUAGUCCACGCCCUAAAANGAUGUCAACUAGUUGUUGGGGAUUCAUUUUCCUUAGUAACGUAGCUAACGCGUGAAGUUGACCGCCUGGGGAGUACGGUCGCAAGAUUAAAACUCAAAGAAUU
Molecule: ribosomal RNA, 564 nt
Filed under: uncultured bacterium
Lineage: Bacteria
Description: partial 16S ribosomal RNA
Rfam family: Bacterial small subunit ribosomal RNA
Source: RNAcentral